RNAcentral lists this ribosomal RNA (440 nucleotides) under uncultured bacterium. Its description in RNAcentral is "partial 16S ribosomal RNA". It matches the Rfam family "Bacterial small subunit ribosomal RNA", at positions 338 to 795 of the family's 1533-position model. The record is from RNAcentral.
CCUACGGGAGGCUGCAGUGGGGAAUCUUGCACAAUGGGGGAACCCCUGAUGCAGCGAAGCCGCGUGAAGGAAGAAGUAUUUCGGUAUGUACACUUCUUUCAGCAGGGAAGAAAAUGACGGUACCUGACUAAGAAGCACCGGCUAACUACGUGCCAGCAGCCGCGGUAAUACGUCGGGGGCACGCGUUAUCCGGAUUUACUGGGUGUAAAGGGAGCGUAGGCGGUGCAGCAAGUCAGAAGUGAAAGCCCUGGGCUCAACUCCGGGACUGCUUUUGAAAAUGUUGAACUAGAUUGCAGGAGAGGUAAGUGGAAUGCCUAGUGUAGCGGUGAAAUGCGGAUAUAUUAGGAGGAACACCAGUGGCGAAGGCGGCUUACUGGACUGUAAAUGACGCUGAGGCUCGAAAGCGUGGGGAGCAAACAGGAUUAGAUACCCCAGUAGUC